This 492-nucleotide ribosomal RNA is filed under the name uncultured bacterium. RNAcentral's name for it is "partial 16S ribosomal RNA". It matches the Rfam family "Bacterial small subunit ribosomal RNA", at positions 29 to 507 of the family's 1533-position model. The record is from RNAcentral.
AGUGAACGCUGGCGGUAGGCCUAACACAUGCAAGUCGAACGGCAGCACAGUAAGAGCUUGCUCUUACGGGUGGCGAGUGGCGGACGGGUGAGGAAUACAUCGGAAUCUACUUUUUCGUGGGGGAUAACGUAGGGAAACUUACGCUAAUACCGCAUACGACCUACGGGUGAAAGCAGGGGAUAUUCGGACCUUGCGCGAUUGAAUGAGACGAUGUCGGAUUAGCUAGUUGGCGGGGUAAAGGCCCACCAAGGCGACGAUCCGUAGCUGGUCUGAGAGGAUGAUCGGCCACACUGGAACUGAGACACGGUCCAGACUCCUACGGGAGGCAGCAGUGGGGAAUAUUGGGCAAUGGGCGCAAGCCUGAUCCAGCCAUACCGCGUGGGUGAAGAAGGCCUUCGGGUUGUAAAGCCCUUUUGUUGGGAAAGAAAAGCAGCAGGUUAAUACCCCGCUGUUCUGACGGUACCCAAAGAAUAAGCACCGGCUAACUUCGUG